UAUAAGAAAAAGGAAAAGCAAAAGGAGAGCAUAUUAGAAUGAAUGGAAUCAUUUCAUUACCUUUGCUGUUUGCUCUCUUUUUCUCUCUCUGCAUCAAUUAUUCAUUUCCAUUCCUAAACCACAACCCUUCGCUCUGAAACAAUUCUCAGCACAAAGAAUGGAAGAAGUUGCCGCCGCCGCCAUGCUUCAAGUUCUAUUUGAAACCCUCAAGAAUGAGGUCUCACUUGUUCGAGGUUUCAGAAAUGAAGCACAACAGUUAACUCAGAAUCUGGACAUGAUCCAGAAAUUCUUGAGUGAUGCAGAGAUGGGCUCCAUCCCCGGUGAGGCUGUCAAGAAGUGGCUCUCGGAUCUUGGAGACGUGGGGUUCGAUGCUGACAUGAUCCAGAAAUUCCCAUAUCCCCCACAUCUGUAUUGAUGGACGAUGGACCCACGUCGAUAGCUCGCUUAAUGUCUUACAAUUGAAGGGGAUGGAAAGUUGGGAAAAUCUACCGGAAUCGAUUCAAUAUCUCUCUACUCUUUCUUAUUUAAACUUGAUGAAUUUUGAAUGGAAGAGUUACCUGAAUGGUUGGGGAACUUGUCAUCUCUAAGGGAGUUGCGUAUACAAAAUUGUAAGAAGUUAAGGCAUAUGGAUGCAAUGCGGCGCCUCACUGAAUUAGUCAGCUUAUAUAUAUAUUGAGGGAUGCCCAGAAAUAUGUGUUGAAGAAGCAAGUGAUGCAGCUGAUUCUCAAUGGCCCAACAUUUCCCAUCUCCCCGACAUCCAUAUUGAUGGACGCCUCAUCCAUCAUGAUGAGGAAGCUCGUGUUUGAGUUUGAGUUGCUUCGAGUGAGGUGGUGAAGGAGUGUGUGCCCAUUAAUUUUCUCCAACUUGAUGUCAACAUUCUUCAAAUUCCCACC
Salvia splendens (bonfire salvia) is the source of this 893-nucleotide long non-coding RNA. RefSeq lists it as uncharacterized. The record is from RefSeq and is a predicted model, not a curated record. Lineage: Eukaryota; Viridiplantae; Streptophyta; Magnoliopsida; Lamiales; Lamiaceae. The transcript has 3 exons.